This 253-nucleotide ribosomal RNA is filed under the name uncultured bacterium. Its description in RNAcentral is "partial 16S ribosomal RNA". It matches the Rfam family "Bacterial small subunit ribosomal RNA", at positions 524 to 776 of the family's 1533-position model. The record is from RNAcentral.
UACGGGGGGGGCAAGCGUUGCUCGGAAUUACUGGGCGUAAAGGGCCCGUAGGCGGCCAACUAAGUCGGAUGUGAAAUCCCCAGGCUCAACUUGGGAACUGCAUCCGAUACUGGAUGGCUUGAAUUCGGGAGAGGGAUGCAGAAUUCCAGGUGUAGCGGUGAAAUGCGUAGAUAUCUGGAGGAAUACCGGUGGCGAAGGCGGCAUCCUGGACCGACAUUGACGCUGAACGGCGAAAGCUAGGGGAGCAAACGGG